CAUCCAGGUAGAGUCGGUAGUCGUCUGCAUCGUCGGCAUCGGACUCCGGUCCGCUGAUGGCGUCGAGCCGCUGGAGGCUGACUGUGCGGGUGAGGCGCCGGUUGAUGGCUGACAGGCGGGCAAUCUGUUGGGAUGCAAUGUUUCAGGUCAAGGUGCAUGCAUGUCCCAUGGGUCGUAACUGGGAGUGUGUUGGGGGCAGGGACAGGAGUCUGUACAGAAGGGGAAGGCAAUGAGGUGGAAUAACCCAGUCAACAAUGGGCUAGUGUGAGGGACUGAAGGGCCGAGCGGCGAGGGAGGAGCCAUGCAACACACGCCUGGCACCGCUCUACAACACUCACACACUCAGGGCAUGCAUAACCGUGAUGCCAAAGCACUUACGCUGUCCUUACUUAUUGGAGGAGGGCUGCAGGUGCAAGUGUGUUAGAAAACUUGGGUUAAAAAGUGGUAUCACACACAGGACAGGAAGCUUAUAUUGCACUAGUGGGAUGUUUUAAGACUGUUGGAGACAUGGCAGUAAUGUUAGGUCAGUGAGGAGACAUGACAGUCAUUUUAGCAAUGUAGAGGUGUGUUUGAUCUGAGGUGAGGUGAGGUGAGGUGAUGGUGAUGGCUGAGGUGUAAACAAUCCUCCACAUUUUAGCUCAAUUUCCUGUUGAAAUUUCUUGCAGCUUCAGGGACAACAAGGCCUGGCUACACACUCCACAUCCCUGACAGGAGAAGACAGCCCUCUGAUUCCCUGUGUUGUGAGAGAGGUGAGGCAAAGGACCAGCAACCACUUCAUCCAUAUUCCUAUUCCUGUCAAGUAAUGGCACACGUGACAUAUCAGCAGCGGUCAGGAGAUAUGUGAUUAUGGGAGUGAUUGUGGUGUUCGUUAACAUUCUGUGGAGUCUGUGGGGUGCGGCUGAGAUGAGAGAGAGAAUGUGCCAGCCUUCAUUGGAAAAUGCAAAGCCCCAGUUGUUGCAGGACUCAAUGGCUCCAUUGCCAUUUCAUCCUGCUCACUGGUAACUGAAAAAUGAGACUUUUGUGUCUAGAUAAAAACAACAAUAAAUAUUUCAAAACACUAAGCUUCUAAAUGAUUUCCAUUUUGUUGUAUUUUAAAUAUUUUGUAAGUAAUUAUUCCAAAGCCAGGCAGUUUGAAAUAUUUACUGCAUUUAAUUUCGACACAAUCUCAUUUUUGUCACAAGUGAAUGGAAUCAAAUGGUGACAAAUCCAUUCACUCCUGCAGCAGUUCUUGCUUUAUAUUUUCUACCAGAUGACACAAUGCCAAUCUGCUGCUUUUCAAUAUCACUUCCCAAAUGCUGAAAAUUAAGUGUGUCUCAGUGCUGUGGGAGGUGUAGUGUUGAGUGCAAGGUGAAGGUGAGGUGAGGAUCAGCCAUGAAGCAGGUGUGGUGAGCCUAGUGCUGCUGCUGCUGCUGCUGGUGGAAGCUCUAAUAUGAGUGGUGAGGUGUGUGUGUGUGUUUAGACAGUGAGUGCACAUUAUUAGGGAGGUUAGAGUGUGAAGAUUAAGCCUGACUUGGUAACACUACAUCCACACACUGGAUGCAGUGACUGACUCAUAGUACAUAUGAUGAUGGAUAUCAGUUAUUUUUAGUCUGAAUGGUGAAGCUUGUGGUGAAUGUCCCAAAAACUGACUCCAUAAUCACAUGUGCUUUAUCAUACAAGUUCCAUCAGAGAAGCUGGAUCUGUACUUAAAGACAAGUGCAGGAAUGUUUAGGCAACUUCUCUGAACUGUGCAUUUGGUGCAAAAUGUGAAUUGUGAUACCUUAACUUCAUAUUAUUCUUUAAAUCACUUCUGUAAAAAUGUGUAGACUGAAAGCUGUUUACUACAGUAACAGUGACCUGACAAUGAAUUAACCAACUUUCUAGCCAUGUUAACUAAGGGAACAGUGACCUGACAAUGAAUUGACUCACUUUCUACUCCCACAAUAUGGUUUCAAUAAGCACUACCUGGCAGCAUCCACCACUGCACCACAGUCUCCAGUCAAGCUAAAGCCCCAGAAAGAGAUAGCACUACUCACCUCUGCCUGCAGCUCUGCCACCUUGUCCUGCAGCCGAGGCACCUGGUCACUCUCGCUGCCGCCCACUCGGGACACCUCGCCCUCUGUCACCAGCUCCUGAUUCUGAGGGAGGGGCACAGAUUAAGUGAUGUUGAAGAUAUGAAUGGUGGGGCCUCCUUCUAUGCUCUUCAUCCAUCAAUAAUGUUGCUCAAAUACAGACAAUGAAUAUUAUAUAUUAAUAUUAAUACAAGUAGUAUGUCAGGGAUUUGUCACAACAAUAAAAUGCAUUCAUUACACAUUCAUUAGCUAUCUUGAUGGUUUGCUGUUGAGAUGCGUUUAACUGAGUGGUAUGUAUUAGUGACUGCUACAACUGUUCAUCAAUAAUCUGCAAUUUGGUACUUUGAAUUUUCUUGUACAUUUCCUACAAAUUGUAAGGUGUAAGUUAUGUCUCUUGCUUUACCUUGAAUUCCAAAGACGAGAUUUUCUGUGUUAAUUCAGCUAAGCUUUGUGACUUCUCAGCCUCUCGAAUUCGUGCCAGCAUUUUCUCCUCCUUCAUCUGAAAUAAAAGCAUGAAUUAGUUCAACUAGAACCUUUUGAAAGUAGUGAAGGUGUGGUACAAUGUUUAAGAAUACAGGCUAGAGGUUGGUGCACUUGCCUGGCUCUCAAGAUCAGUAUACUUCCGCUUGUGGUCGCCCAGCUGGGACUGCAUGGUGCGGAUGUUUGCUUCAGCUGCAUCCAGAGCCUCCUGUAGCCUCUUGUUUUCCUCCUCCUGACGCUUCAUCUGGUUAGUGGAGACCUGCACGGCCGUCUCCAGCUCCAUCACCUGCAGGAGGAGAGAGAAUUGUUCAGUCUUGCAAUUCAACACUACUUGGGUCUUUAAUAUGGCAACUUCCCACCUUGAGCCUGGCCUCCUUCAGUUCAGCUACAGCAGCUGUCUCAUGCAGCUUGGUGGUCAUGAGCUCCUCCUCUAGCUUGGCUGCCUCACUGGACCGAUCCCAGAACAGUCCCAACUUCUUGCUUGGG
Molecule: long non-coding RNA, 3017 nt
Organism: Scylla paramamosain (green mud crab)
Lineage: Eukaryota; Metazoa; Arthropoda; Malacostraca; Decapoda; Portunidae
Exons: 5
Source: RefSeq, a predicted model, not a curated record